UACGAAGGUGGCAAGCGUUGUUCGGAUUUACUGGGCGUAAAGAGUGCGUAGGCGGUUUAACAAGUCAGGAGUGAAAGCCCAAGGCUCAACCUUGGAAUUGCUUUUGAAACUGUUUUACUUGAAUCCGGUAGAGGUUGGCGGAAUUCUCAGUGUAGAGGUGAAAUUCGCAGAUAUUGAGAGGAACACCAGUGGCGUAAGCGGCCAACUGGACCGGUUUUGACGCUGAGGCACGAAAGCAUGGGGAGCAAACAGG
This 253-nucleotide ribosomal RNA is filed under the name uncultured bacterium. RNAcentral describes it as "partial 16S ribosomal RNA". It matches the Rfam family "Bacterial small subunit ribosomal RNA", at positions 524 to 776 of the family's 1533-position model. The record is from RNAcentral.